AGGCGGGACACUGUAUCUCAGGGUUAUUUCAUAAUUAUUUAUCUGAUUAAAGUAGCAUGAUGCCAAUUCGUAUCUCGUGUUUUAAGAAAUAAUGGUGAUAUGCUGACGUUUGUUGACCGGUCUUAGCUGGGGUAACAUUAGCAACUGCGAGCUCGUCAGACUACGAAGAACUGUAAACAAUACCUAACUACAAAAUCCUGGUACAGAAUGACCUAGCUCGAAAGUGAGAAAGUGGGAACGAGGCUACGAGACUUAGAGCUAGAUCUAACACUCAACUUAGCAUGGGCGAUGAAAAAUGAAGGAGUAUGAAAUUACAAUCCUUAGCUGGUUACGAUGCUUGUCGGCAGGUUUCUAUCGACUCGUAAUUUGACACAAGGGGCCUAAGAUGUCUUUGUCAACAAAUUUGGGU
Long non-coding RNA from Limulus polyphemus (Atlantic horseshoe crab), 409 nucleotides. RefSeq lists it as uncharacterized. The transcript has 3 exons. NCBI's taxonomy places the organism in Eukaryota, Metazoa, Arthropoda, Merostomata, Xiphosura, Limulidae. The record is from RefSeq and is a predicted model, not a curated record.